RNAcentral lists this non-coding RNA (29 nucleotides) under Mus musculus (house mouse). Lineage: Eukaryota; Metazoa; Chordata; Mammalia; Rodentia; Muridae. The record is from RNAcentral.
UCCUCUGCAGACAUCUAUCUCAGCCUGGC